This 304-nucleotide ribosomal RNA is filed under the name uncultured bacterium. RNAcentral describes it as "partial 16S ribosomal RNA". It matches the Rfam family "Bacterial small subunit ribosomal RNA", at positions 506 to 809 of the family's 1533-position model. The record is from RNAcentral.
CAGCAGCCGCCGCGGGAAUACGUAGGUGGCAAGCGUUGUCCGGAAUUAUUGGGCGUAAAGCGCGCGCAGGUGGUUUAAUAAGUCUGAUGUGAAAGCCCACGGCUCAACCGUGGAGGGUCAUUGGAAACUGUUAAACUUGAGUGCAGGAGAGAAAAGUGGAAUUCCUAGUGUAGCGGUGAAAUGCGUAGAGAUUAGGAGGAACACCAGUGGCGAAGGCGGCUUUUUGGCCUGUAACUGACACUGAGGCGCGAAAGCGUGGGGAGCAAACAGGAUUAGAUACCCCUGUAGUCCCUGUCUCUUAUAA